UACGGGGGGAGCAAGCGUUGUUCGGAUUUACUGGGCGUAGAGGGCGCGUAGGCGGUCAGCACAAGUCAGUUGUGAAAUCUCCGGGCUUAACUCGGAAAGGUCAACUGAUACUGUGCGACUAGAGUGCAGAAGGGGCAACUGGAAUUCUCGGUGUAGCGGUGAAAUGCGUAGAUAUCGAGAGGAACACCUGCGGCGAAGGCGGGUUGCUGGGCUGAUACUGACGCUGAGGCGCGAAAGCAUGGGGAGCGAACAGG
This 254-nucleotide ribosomal RNA is filed under the name uncultured bacterium. RNAcentral's name for it is "partial 16S ribosomal RNA". It matches the Rfam family "Bacterial small subunit ribosomal RNA", at positions 524 to 776 of the family's 1533-position model. The record is from RNAcentral.